RNAcentral lists this ribosomal RNA (501 nucleotides) under uncultured bacterium. Its description in RNAcentral is "bacterial SSU rRNA". It matches the Rfam family "Bacterial small subunit ribosomal RNA", at positions 8 to 507 of the family's 1533-position model. The record is from RNAcentral.
AGAGUUUGAUCCUGGCUCAGGAUGAACGCUAGCGGCAGGCUUAACACAUGCAAGUCGAGGGGUAUUUGGACUUCGGUCCAGAGAGACCGGCAAACGGGUGCGGAACACGUACACAACCUACCUUUAUCAGGGGGAUAGCCCAUAGAAAUGUGGAUUAAUACCCCAUAGGAUCAUAUAAUGGCAUCAUUAAGUGAUUAAAGAACUUCGGAUAGAGAUGGGUGUGCGUAAGAUUAGCUAGUUGGUAGGGUAACGGCCUACCAAGGCAACGAUCUUUAGCUGAUGUGAGAGCAUGAUCAGCCACACGGGCACUGAGACACGGGCCCGACUCCUACGGGAGGCAGCAGUGAGGAAUAUUGGUCAAUGGACGGAAGUCUGAACCAGCCAUGCCGCGUGAUGGAUGAAAGGCGUUCUGCGUUGUAAAACUUCUUUUAUCUGGGAAGAAACCACAGAUUUCUAUUUGUGUUGACGGUACCAGAGGAAUAAGCACCGGCUAACUCCGUG